This 89-nucleotide transfer RNA is filed under the name Microbotryum lychnidis-dioicae p1A1 Lamole. RNAcentral describes it as "tRNA-Val for anticodon AAC". Lineage: Eukaryota; Fungi; Basidiomycota; Microbotryomycetes; Microbotryales; Microbotryaceae. The record is from RNAcentral.
GGUUCUGUGGUGUAGUUGGUUAUCACGUAUCCUUAACAGGUGUCUGUCUGAUUCGGAUAAGGUCCCCGGUUCGAUCCCGUGCAGAAUCA